UACGUAGGUGGCAAGCGUUGUCCGGCAUUAUUGGGCGUAAAGCGCGCGCAGGCGGUUUUGUAAGUCUGAUGUUAAAGCCCGGGGCUCAACCUCGGUUCGCAUUGGAAACUCUGGAACUUGAGUGCAGAAGAGGAAAGUGGUAUUCCACGUGUAGCGGUGAAAUGCGUAGAUAUGUGGAGGAACACCAGUGGCGAAGGCGACUUUCUGGUCUGUAACUGACGCUGAGGCGCGAAAGCGUGGGGAGCAAACAGG
RNAcentral lists this ribosomal RNA (252 nucleotides) under uncultured bacterium. RNAcentral's name for it is "partial 16S ribosomal RNA". It matches the Rfam family "Bacterial small subunit ribosomal RNA", at positions 524 to 776 of the family's 1533-position model. The record is from RNAcentral.